Molecule: ribosomal RNA, 470 nt
Filed under: uncultured bacterium
Lineage: Bacteria
Description: bacterial SSU rRNA
Rfam family: Bacterial small subunit ribosomal RNA
Source: RNAcentral
AACGAACGCUGGCGGCAGGCUUAACACAUGCAAGUUGAACGGGAUUUGUGUGGUGCUUGCACCAUAUAAUGAGAGUAGCGCACUGGUGAGUAACACGUGGGAACGUGCCUUUUAGUGGGGGAUAACAUCUGGAAACGGAUGCUAAUACCGCAUAAGCGCACAGGAUUGCAUGAUCUAGUGUGAAAAACUCCGGUGGUAUAAGAUGGACCCGCGUCUGAUUAGCUGGUUGGUGAGGUAACGGCCCACCAAGGCGACGAUCAGUAGCCGACCUGAGAGGGUGACCGGCCACAUUGGGACUGAGACACGGCCCAAAACUCCUACGGGAGGCAGCAGUGGGGAAUAUUGCACAAUGGGGGAAACCCUGAUGCAGCGACGCCGCGUGAGCGAAGAAGUAUUUCGGUAUGUAAAGCUCUAUCAGCAGGGAAGAAAAAAUGACGGUACCUGACUAAGAAGCCCCGGCUAACUACGUG